Molecule: ribosomal RNA, 896 nt
Filed under: Bacillus sonorensis
Lineage: Bacteria; Bacillati; Bacillota; Bacilli; Caryophanales; Bacillaceae
Description: bacterial SSU rRNA
Rfam family: Bacterial small subunit ribosomal RNA
Source: RNAcentral
UUUUGUGUCCGCGCGCGGGCGCUGUAUACGUACGUGUCAGGGUUGUACGAGUAGGUAUUAUCUGGGCGUAAAGCGCGCGCAGGCGGUUUCUUAAGUCUGAUGUGAAAGCCCCCGGCUCUACCGGGGAGGGUCAUUGGAAACUGGGGAACUUGAGUGCAGUAGAGGAGAGUGGAUUUCCACGUGUAGCGGUGAAGUGCGUAGAGAUGUGGAGGAACACCAGUGGCGAAGGCGACUCUCUGGUCUGUAACUGACGCUGAGGCGCGAUAGCGUGGGGAGCGAACAGGAUUAGAUACCCUGGUAGUCCACGCCGUAAACGAUGAGUGCUAAGUGUUAGAGGGUUUCCGCCCUUUAGUGCUGCAGCAAACGCAUUAAGCACUCCGCCUGGGGAGUACGGUCGCAAGACUGAAACUCAAAGGAAUUGACGGGGGCCCGCACAAGCGGUGGAGCAUGUGGUUUAAUUCGAAGCAACGCGAAGAACCUUACCAGGUCUUGACAUCCUCUGACAACCCUAGAGAUAGGGCUUCCCCUUCGGGGGCAGAGUGACAGGUGGUGCAUGGUUGUCGUCAGCUCGUGUCGUGAGAUGUUGGGUUAAGUCCCGCAACGAGCGCAACCCUUGAUCUUAGUUGCCAGCAUUCAGUUGGGCACUCUAAGGUGACUGCCGGUGACAAACCGGAGGAAGGUGGGGAUGACGUCAAAUCAUCAUGCCCCUUAUGACCUGGGCUACACACGUGCUACAAUGGGCAGAACAAAGGGCAGCGAAGCCGCGAGGCUCAGCCAAUCCCACAAAUCUGUUCUCAGUUCGGAUCGCAGUCUGCAACUCGACUGCGUGAAGCUGUAAUCGCUAGUCACUGGCGGACUCAGCAUGCCGCGGUGAUCGUCUCUCCGCGCGCCUAAAA